AACACCUUGAACAGGUGACACCUUGAACAGGUGACACCCUGCAGCAGGUGACACCUUGAACAGGGAACACCUUGCACAGGUGACACCUUGAACAGGGAACACCUUUCAACAGGUGACACCUUGAACAGGUGACACCCUGAACAGGGAACACCUUGCACAGGUGACACCCUGCAG
Long non-coding RNA from Poecile atricapillus (Black-capped chickadee), 174 nucleotides. RefSeq lists it as uncharacterized. The record is from RefSeq and is a predicted model, not a curated record. The transcript is spliced from 3 exons. NCBI's taxonomy places the organism in Eukaryota, Metazoa, Chordata, Aves, Passeriformes, Paridae.